RNAcentral lists this ribosomal RNA (465 nucleotides) under Vreelandella stevensii. RNAcentral's name for it is "partial 16S ribosomal RNA". It matches the Rfam family "Bacterial small subunit ribosomal RNA", at positions 338 to 795 of the family's 1533-position model. Lineage: Bacteria; Pseudomonadati; Pseudomonadota; Gammaproteobacteria; Oceanospirillales; Halomonadaceae. The record is from RNAcentral.
CCUACGGGUGGCAGCAGUGGGGAAUAUUGGACAAUGGGCGAAAGCCUGAUCCAGCCAUGCCGCGUGUGUGAAGAAGGCCUUCGGGUUGUAAAGCACUUUCAGUGGGGAAGAAAGCCUUGGGGCUAAUACCCUCGAGGAAGGACAUCACCCACAGAAGAAGCACCGGCUAACUCCGUGCCAGCAGCCGCGGUAAUACGGAGGGUGCGAGCGUUAAUCGGAAUUACUGGGCGUAAAGCGCGCGUAGGCGGUCUGAUAAGCCGGUUGUGAAAGCCCCGGGCUCAACCUGGGAACGGCAUCCGGAACUGUCAGGCUAGGGUGCAUGAGAGGAAGGUAGAAUUCCCGGUGUAGCGGUGAAAUGCGUAGAGUUCGGGAGGAAUACCAGUGGCGAAGGCGGCCUUCUGGACUGACACUGACGCUGAGGUGCGAAAGCGUGGGUAGCAAACAGGAUUAGAUACCCUGGUAGUC